RNAcentral lists this ribosomal RNA (253 nucleotides) under uncultured bacterium. RNAcentral's name for it is "partial 16S ribosomal RNA". It matches the Rfam family "Bacterial small subunit ribosomal RNA", at positions 524 to 776 of the family's 1533-position model. The record is from RNAcentral.
UACGGGGGGAGCAAGCGUUGUUCGGAUUUACUGGGCGUAAAGGGCGCGUAGGCGGCACCGCAAGUCGACUGUGAAAUCUCCGGGCUUAACCCGGAAAGGUCAGCCGAUACUGCGGGGCUAGAGUGCAGAAGGGGCAACUGGAAUUCUCGGUGUAGCGGUGAAAUGCGUAGAUAUCGGAAGGAACACCAGUGGCGAAGGCGACUUCCUGGUCUGUUACUGACACUGAGGCGCGAAAGCGUGGGGAGCAAACAGG